GCCGGGCAUGGUGGUGUGUGCCUGUAAUCCCAGCUACUCGGGAGGCUGAGGCAGGAGAAUCGCUUGAACCUGGGAGGUGGAGGUUGCAGUGAGCCUAGAUUGUACUACUGCACUCCAGUCUGGGUGACAGAGCAAGACUCUGUCUCAGAAAAAAAAAAAAAAAAAGAAUGCCAUUUUUUUUUUUUUUUGAGGCGGAGUUUCGCUCUUCUUACCUAGGCUGGAGUGCAAUGGCGCGAUCUCGGCUCACCGCAACCUCCGCCUCCCGGGUUCAGGCAAUUCUCCUGCCUCAG
RNAcentral lists this signal recognition particle RNA (290 nucleotides) under Callithrix jacchus (white-tufted-ear marmoset). RNAcentral's name for it is "Metazoan signal recognition particle RNA (ENSCJAG00000079293.1)". It matches the Rfam family "Metazoan signal recognition particle RNA". From Rfam's summary of the family: The signal recognition particle (SRP) is a universally conserved ribonucleoprotein. It is involved in the co-translational targeting of proteins to membranes. Lineage: Eukaryota; Metazoa; Chordata; Mammalia; Primates; Cebidae. The record is from RNAcentral.